RNAcentral lists this ribosomal RNA (321 nucleotides) under Triticum aestivum (bread wheat). RNAcentral's name for it is "partial small subunit ribosomal RNA". The record is from RNAcentral. Lineage: Eukaryota; Viridiplantae; Streptophyta; Magnoliopsida; Poales; Poaceae.
AUGUGUCCGAAUAGCUACUGGCAGUAUUUUGUUUGGUGUCAUGCGUUUUUCCCUGCUGGACAAAAGUAUUAUACUGUUGGCUUGGCUGCUGCCUGCUGGGCCAUUUGGCUUGCCAGGAAUCGUGCUACUUUCGGAAAGAAGCAGAUCAAAACACCCUUUGAGAUAGUCUUCUCUUUGUGUUCUUUUUUGUUAUACUGGGCAGGUCUACAGCAGGAGGAAGGCGCCAAGGAGCUGCGAAGUGGUGCUGAGAUGAUCAGGUUGAGCACGAUGCGCUUGAUGGGGAUGUGCAAUGCUGCGAGAGUGCCGAUCGGAGGAGACUGA